AUGUGCCUACGGGGGGCAGCAGUGGGGAAUAUUGGACAAUGGGGGGAACCCUGAUCCAGCGACGCCGCGUGAGUGAAGAAGUAUUUCGGUAUGUAAAGCUCUAUCAGCAGGGAAGAAAGAAAUGACGGUACCUGACUAAGAAGCCCCGGCUAACUACGUGCCAGCAGCCGCGGUAAUAAGUAGGGGGCAAGCGUUAUCCGGAUUUACUGGGUGUAAAGGGAGCGUAGACGGCUAUGCACGUCUGGAGUGAAAGGC
This 255-nucleotide ribosomal RNA is filed under the name uncultured bacterium. RNAcentral's name for it is "partial 16S ribosomal RNA". It matches the Rfam family "Bacterial small subunit ribosomal RNA", at positions 333 to 602 of the family's 1533-position model. The record is from RNAcentral.